CAGCAGCCGCGGGAAUACAGAGGGUGCGAGCGUUAAUCGGAUUUACUGGGCGUAAAGCGUGCGUAGGCGGCUUCUUAAGUCGGAUGUGAAAUCCCUGAGCUUAACUUAGGAAUUGCAUUCGAUACUGGGAAGCUAGAGUAUGGGAGAGGAUGGUAGAAUUCCAGGUGUAGCGGUGAAAUGCGUAGAGAUCUGGAGGAAUACCGAUGGCGAAGGCAGCCAUCUGGCCUAAUACUGACGCUGAGGUACGAAAGCAUGGGGAGCAAACAGGAUUAGAUACCCCCGUAGUCCCUGUCUCUUAUAU
This 301-nucleotide ribosomal RNA is filed under the name uncultured bacterium. Its description in RNAcentral is "partial 16S ribosomal RNA". It matches the Rfam family "Bacterial small subunit ribosomal RNA", at positions 509 to 809 of the family's 1533-position model. The record is from RNAcentral.